CCGAAAAGAUCGAAUGAGGAGACUCUUCGUCAGCGGAGUGGCUCUUCAGGCGCCAGCGAUGGAGAUGGAUUUAUUCGUUUUCACGCGACCGCUGUGAUUAUGUCCGGCUACGUCGGCGUGCACUUCUCCUCUAGAAGAACGUCGCGCCCCGUUGGGUGUCGGCUGGAGCCCCAAGAUCGUUGACUGCUUUGUUUGUUUGGGAACCAAUGGAGGCGGUUGGUUUUUUUCCUGGCCGGCUGCCCGGCGGUACCCCCAAGGUAUCGAACCGCCCUUUGAAUGCGUUUCGGCUUGUUGCAAACCCGGCCCUUUCAUCCUGGAGGUGCGGGCCGAGGGCCGUUCCCGGGGGUGGUUGGGUGUUGGUUGACGAUUUUCCCGAACUGGCUUAAAAAAUUUUUGUAAAAACGAUACCGGUCGGCGACGCUAUUGCUUUGGGUACUUUCAGGACCCGUCUUGAAACACGGACCAAGGAGUCUAACAUGUGCGCGAGUCAUUGGGACGUUGAAACCUAAAGGCGCAUUGAAAGAAAAGAUCAACCUAGCGUUGAUUGAGGGAGGAUGGGCGACGUUUAGAUGUCGCUUCGCACUCCCGGGGUGUCUCUUAAAGUCAUCGCGACUUGAGGCGCACCCAGAGCGUACACGUUGGGACCCGAAAGAUGGUGAACUAUGCCUGGUCAGGAUGAAGUCAGGGGAAACCCUGAUGGAGGUCCGCAUCGGAUCUGACGUGCAAAUCGAUCGUCGGAACUGGGGAUAGGGGCGAAAGAAUAAUCCA
RNAcentral lists this ribosomal RNA (768 nucleotides) under Echthrodesis lamorali. RNAcentral's name for it is "partial 28S ribosomal RNA". It matches the Rfam family "Eukaryotic large subunit ribosomal RNA", at positions 504 to 938 of the family's 3401-position model. Lineage: Eukaryota; Metazoa; Arthropoda; Insecta; Hymenoptera; Scelionidae. The record is from RNAcentral.